This 420-nucleotide ribosomal RNA is filed under the name uncultured archaeon. Its description in RNAcentral is "partial 16S ribosomal RNA". It matches the Rfam family "Archaeal small subunit ribosomal RNA", at positions 323 to 746 of the family's 1478-position model. The record is from RNAcentral.
CUACGGGUCGCUGCAGUUGAGGAACUUUUACAAUGCUCGAAAGAGUGAUCGAGUGAGCCAGAGUGUUUCUCUUAGAGAAACUUUUGUCUGCUGUAAAAAGGCAGACGAAUAAGGACUGGGCAAGACCGGUGCCAGCCGCCGCGGUAAUACCGGCGGUCCAAGUUGCAUCCACAUUUAUUGGGUCUAAAACAUUCGUAGCUUGUUUUGUAAGUUUCUUGUGAAAUUUCAUGUCUCAAGCAUGAAGCGUGCAAGAAAUACUACAUUACUAGAGACCGGAAGGCGCAAAGAGUACGAUCGAGGUAGCGGUAAAAUGUGUUAAUCUUGAUUGGACUAACAAUGGCGAAGGCACUUUGCGAGUACGGAUCUGACAGUGAGGGAUGAAGGCUAGGGGCGCAAAAGGGAUUAGAUACCCGUGUAGUC